GGGGUGGUGGAGUUGCUAUCUCUGGCAGUGUUCAAGAGGUGUCUGGAUGAGGAGCUAUGAGAUAUGCUUUAGUAGCUGUGGUAGUAAUGGUAAUGGGAGGACGGUCGGACUAGAUGAUCUUGCAGGACAUUUCUAACCUUGCGAUUCUAUGAUUCUGUGAUUCUAUGAUGUAAGCUGAACUACAGUACUGCAGUUUUGUGUCUGUUAUGUUUUAGAAGAGAAUAAUUUGGUAGUGUAUUUCACAUGAAUCAACAAUUCAAUAACAAAAGUUCAGCAUUUGUCCCUUAUCCCAUUCAGAGGGAGUUAUUAUUCAUAUCCCACCUUAACUGGGAUGAAGUUAUCUGUUGAGAUUCAUAAACAACAUGCUGUUAAUGUCUCGUAUAAAAAUGGCAGUAGACAACACGCAAGAGUAAGUCAGUAGGAUGCAGCACAGUGGAACUCAGCUUGGAAAUGGAGGUCUUCCCAAUGCCUGGGAAGCCCCUCUGCCAGCAACUGUCACCUCUACUGCGGGGGCAACUGAAAUGUAUGCAGAAAUGCUUGCAAAUCACCCCAUUCUGUAACAUAACCAGAAUUGGCCCUGGUUUUACAACAGACAAUGUAAAAAAUGGCUGGAUGGGUUAUUCUGGCUUCCCUGAUGUGGGUAUUAAAGAGUAGGCUGUUGAAGGCACCAUCAGUUAAAUUUGUCUGUUUGUGAGUCAGUGCCUUCACAUGUUAGGGGGGCAAGUGCUGAACUUCAAAGGAAAGCACAAAUACCCGUCAUAGCAACUGUCAGUCACUAGUCUGCAGCAAAUCCCAGUAAGUACCCAAAAGUUUGAUUUCAAAGUGAACAUUGCCUCCCAAAUUUUAAAAGGCCAGAGAGCUGGCAAACCAGUCAGGCAGAUGUGAGUUUGGAAACAUUUUUAUGGAGUUAGUUUAAUAUUGGUUGCAUUUUUAUCCCUGUAAAGAUCAUGACAUAGCCAAUGUUCACAUCCAAAUUCUGUGUUUGUCCUUUUUGUCUGAAGGACUUUUGCCAGACCAUUAAGUUUUUGAUCGAAAGUUGGAAGAGCUACCAGAAUGUGCUACCCUAAUACUUACAAAUCAUGUAAUUUCAAUUCUCAUUUUAAAUAGUGCCACAGUAUCUCUGGGAUUAUCCAGAAAUUAACUAUGCUGUGAAUCAAAUCAGUUACUGCAAAGGGCAUCAACUACCUUAGUACACUGUGAUUCCUUGCUGAUGUUACUCAGUUGAUGCCUGUGGCAAGUGAUCUCUGUUUUCAAAUUCUUAGAGUUGGAGUCUGAGGAUCAGAAAUCUCCAGUGUAGUAAAGAAUAGUCAAGUGUGCUGAUAAUGUUUUGGGAAUGAAAUCUCAGCUCCACAGAGGUGAAAGCAAGUUUGCAAUUUUUGCUUAAUACUGACUGCUGAAUGAAGGACAGUCCCAGUCCUUCCACCACACCCCAGCUGCCAGCAAAGACAUAGGCAACCACUCCCCAAGGCAGCAUAGCAGAGCAGGCAUGAACCAUGAAGAACUGCUUGGCUUAGGGAUCAGCGUUGUUCCUUGGAGGGCAUGACAUCAUCCGCUGAGGAACAACUUCAGUUUUGUGACUGUAGAAGCUGACAGCUCACACCUGACUACUGCUGAGAGACUGGAUUACUUGUAUCUUAUCUAGAUAAAUGAGAGAAUGAAGCCCAGGAGGAAUGAAAAAUUUAAGCCUAGGUGUUACUCAGCAUGCCAAGUAACUAGCCUGGGCCAGACAGAAAAUCCUUCCAAAUGCAGGCCUCCUUCCUGGCAACAGCACUGUGCCACUUUGACAUCCAGCAUUAAUUUUAAAUGAGAGUGAUUUAUUUUGCUUUAGAAGACAGCAGAUGGCAGCAAAGUUAUACAAAUGCGCCAAACUAGUAGAAGAAGAAAAAUAUCUUGAUACACAAACUCUAACAACAUUCCAUGGAAAAAACAUAUCAUUUGUUUCUGUCUGUCUUGCAGUGUGGUUAGCACAAUAAAUCAGAUUUAAUGGCCCUCA
Non-coding RNA from Meleagris gallopavo (turkey), 1993 nucleotides. The record is from RefSeq and is a predicted model, not a curated record. Lineage: Eukaryota; Metazoa; Chordata; Aves; Galliformes; Phasianidae.